This 433-nucleotide RNase P RNA is filed under the name Chloroflexota bacterium. Its description in RNAcentral is "Chloroflexi bacterium (oil production facility metagenome) RNase P RNA component class A". It matches the Rfam family "Bacterial RNase P class A". Rfam says of the family: Ribonuclease P (RNase P) is a ubiquitous endoribonuclease, found in archaea, bacteria and eukarya as well as chloroplasts and mitochondria. Its best characterised activity is the generation of mature 5'-ends of tRNAs by cleaving the 5'-leader elements of precursor-tRNAs. Cellular RNase Ps are ribonucleoproteins. Lineage: Bacteria; Bacillati; Chloroflexota. The record is from RNAcentral.
UGAGUGGACCAGACGACCGCGGCGGGGCGCUGCUCGGUGAGAGCGCGUUCUGCUGAGGAAAGUCCGAACUCCGCAGAGCACGAUGCUGGGUAACUCCCAGGCGAGGCGACUCGACGGCAUAGUGCAACAGAGAGCAGGUCGCUGCCCGGUCUCGGCCGAAACGAAGGCGGGCAGUAAGAGUGAAACGGUGGUGUAAGAGACCACCAGCGGGCCAGGUGACUGGUCCGGCUAGGCAAACCCCAUCGGGAGCAAGGCCAAGCAUGAGGCGGUCGCCGAUGCCGAUCGGCGACGCGGGCUGCUCGUCCGAAGCCUCGGGUAGGCCGCUGGAGGCCGCGAGCAAUUGCGGCCCGAGAUAGAUGGUCGUCGGCCCGCGAACCCUGGGCGAUCCUCAGGGCGUGGGUUACAGAAUUCGGCUUAUAGGUCCACUCAUUCC